GCCUGGUUUUUUGUCAAAAAUGGGGAUCCUUCAUCUAAGUUUUGUUAGAGAGAAAGAGGGGUCCAAAUUAGGUCUGUUGGAGUUUAAAAAUAGAAACGGCCAUUUUUUGUAUGUGCGAGUAGUGAGUGAAGAUAAAGGGGAAAGCUGCUCUCGAUCUCGGUGGGGGAAAGUCCAUAGGGUUAGAAAAAAGUUAGAGAGCUGCUAGUUUCUCAAAAAAAAAAAGGGCAGGUGAUCUGAUGAUUUUGGUCUCUU
RNAcentral lists this long non-coding RNA (252 nucleotides) under Nicotiana benthamiana. Its description in RNAcentral is "long non-coding RNA (NBEN_LNC042349)". Lineage: Eukaryota; Viridiplantae; Streptophyta; Magnoliopsida; Solanales; Solanaceae. The record is from RNAcentral.